Molecule: ribosomal RNA, 468 nt
Filed under: uncultured bacterium
Lineage: Bacteria
Description: partial 16S ribosomal RNA
Rfam family: Bacterial small subunit ribosomal RNA
Source: RNAcentral
GACGAACGCUGGCGGCGUGCUUAACACAUGCAAGUCGAACGGAAAGGCCCUGCUUUUGUGGGGUGCUCGAGUGGCGAACGGGUGAGUAACACGUGAGUAACCUGCCCUUGACUUUGGGAUAACUUCAGGAAACUGGGGCUAAUACCGGAUAGGAGCUCCUGCUGCAUGGUGGGGGUUGGAAAGUUUCGGCGGUUGGGGAUGGACUCGCGGCUUAUCAGCUUGUUGGUGGGGUAGUGGCUUACCAAGGCUUUGACGGGUAGCCGGCCUGAGAGGGUGACCGGACACAUUGGGACUGGGAUACGGCCCAGACUCCUACGGGAGGCAGCAGUGGGGAAGAUUGCACAAUGGGCGGAAGCCUGAUGCAGCAACGCCGCGUGCGGGAUGACGGCCUUCGGGUUGUAAACCGCUUUCGCCUGUGACGAAGCGUGAGUGACGGUAAUGGGUAAAGAAGCACCGGCUAACUACGUG